This 273-nucleotide ribosomal RNA is filed under the name uncultured bacterium. RNAcentral describes it as "partial 16S ribosomal RNA". It matches the Rfam family "Bacterial small subunit ribosomal RNA", at positions 84 to 354 of the family's 1533-position model. The record is from RNAcentral.
CCCGCCGGCGACCGGCGCACGGGUGAGUAACACGUAUGCAACCUGGCCGCCACAGGGGGAUAACCCGCGGAAACGCGGCCUAAUACCCCGUGACGCCACCGGAGGGCAUCCUCCGGUGGCCAAAGGAGCGAAUCCGGUGGCGGAUGGGCAUGCGGCGCAUUAGCUAGACGGCGGGGUGACGGCCCACCGUGGCGACGAUGCGUAGGGGUUCUGAGAGGAAGGCCCCCCACACUGGGACUGAGACACGGCCCAGACUCCUACGGGAGGCAGCAG